This 212-nucleotide long non-coding RNA is filed under the name Pongo abelii (Sumatran orangutan). RNAcentral's name for it is "lincRNA". Lineage: Eukaryota; Metazoa; Chordata; Mammalia; Primates; Hominidae. The record is from RNAcentral.
ACAGGUGCAACCAACCUGCUUCUCCAGAGAUCUCCCAAGACAUCAAUAAUGGGGUCAAGGGAAACAGACACCCUUGGGGUCUUCUCCACUUAGCUCCCUUUGGUGACAGGGCUGGACAGCAGCAGCAGGGGAUGGCAAGGCAGGGGAUGGAAGAAAGAAGCAGCUCUUCCUUGAAGUCUUCUGAGACCUCAACAGAGGAAGCUUAUGGGAAU